GUCCCUGUAGCGCAAUGGAUAGCGCGUUGGACUUUUAUUCCAAAGGUCGUGGGUUCGAGUCCCACAUGGGAUG
This 73-nucleotide transfer RNA is filed under the name Trichonephila inaurata madagascariensis. Its description in RNAcentral is "tRNA-Lys". It matches the Rfam family "tRNA". Rfam says of the family: Transfer RNA (tRNA) molecules are approximately 80 nucleotides in length. The record is from RNAcentral. Lineage: Eukaryota; Metazoa; Arthropoda; Arachnida; Araneae; Nephilidae.